RNAcentral lists this unclassified non-coding RNA (170 nucleotides) under uncultured fungus. Its description in RNAcentral is "sequence contains ITS1". The record is from RNAcentral. Lineage: Eukaryota; Fungi.
AUGAAUACAUCUUCAUUGAUAACACCCCCCUCUGUGAACAUGUUACCCUGUUGCUUCCCGUGGGCCCGCCUCUCCGGGGGCGGAUCCCAUGCCUGCGGGGAGGUCUUCAACUGAAACCCUUUGUUUUUGCCAUGCCAUCUCUAGUCUGAACAACCAAAAGCGAAACGUUA